This 499-nucleotide ribosomal RNA is filed under the name uncultured bacterium. RNAcentral's name for it is "partial 16S ribosomal RNA". It matches the Rfam family "Bacterial small subunit ribosomal RNA", at positions 28 to 507 of the family's 1533-position model. The record is from RNAcentral.
GACGAACGCUGGCGGCGUGCCUAAUACAUGCAAGUCGAGCGGACUUUCAAGAAGCUUGCUUUUUGAAAGUUAGCGGCGGACGGGUGAGUAACACGUGGGCAACCUGCCUGCAAGACGGGGAUAACUCCGGGAAACCGGGGCUAAUACCGGAUAAUAUCUUCCUUCGAAUGAAGGCAGGUUGAAAGGCGGAGCAAGCUGCUGCUUGCAGAUGGGCCCGCGGCGCAUUAGCUAGUUGGUGAGGUAACGGCUCACCAAGGCGACGAUGCGUAGCCGACCUGAGAGGGUGAUCGGCCACACUGGGACUGAGACACGGCCCAGACUCCUACGGGAGGCAGCAGUAGGGAAUCUUCCGCAAUGGACGAAAGUCUGACGGAGCAACGCCGCGUGAGCGAAGAAGGUCUUCGGAUCGUAAAGCUCUGUUGUCAGGGAAGAACAAGUACCGUUCGAACAGGGCGGUACCGUGACGGUACCUGACCAGAAAGCCACGGCUAACUACGUG